This 253-nucleotide ribosomal RNA is filed under the name uncultured bacterium. Its description in RNAcentral is "partial 16S ribosomal RNA". It matches the Rfam family "Bacterial small subunit ribosomal RNA", at positions 524 to 776 of the family's 1533-position model. The record is from RNAcentral.
UACGGAGGGUGCUAACGUUGUUCGGAAUUACUGGGCAUAAAGCGCACGUAGGCGGUCUGCUAAGUCGGUUGUGAAAGCCCCCGGCUCAACCGGGGAAUUGCGUUCGAUACUGGCAGGCUCGAGGACGGUUGGGGUGAGUGGAACUCCAGGUGGAGCGGUGAAAUGCGUAGAUAUCUGGAGGAACACCGGUGGCGAAAGCGGCUCACUGGACCGUAACUGACGCUGAUGUGCGAAAGCUAGGGGAGCAAACGGG